Molecule: ribosomal RNA, 660 nt
Filed under: Chaetothyriales sp.
Lineage: Eukaryota; Fungi; Ascomycota; Eurotiomycetes; Chaetothyriales
Description: bacterial SSU rRNA
Rfam family: Bacterial small subunit ribosomal RNA
Source: RNAcentral
GACUAUUUUUUAUCUAUAAGUCUUGGCCAAAUUACGUGCCAGCAGUCGCGGUAAUACGUAAAAGACGAGUGUUAUUCAUCUUUAAUCGGUUUAAAGGGUACCUAGACGGAAAAUCAAGCUUAAUUAAACUAAGGACUAGUUUUCUAGAGUUUGACAUGAGAAGGUACGAACUAUCAGAGGAGAGAUAAAAUUUGUUGAUACUGGUGGGACGGACAACGGCGAAGGCAAUCUUCUACUAAAAACUGACGUUGAGGGACGAAGCCUUGGGGAGCGAGAAGGAUUAGAUACCCUAGUAGUCCUUGGAGAAAAUUAUGAGUGCCAUAGACUAAAGUGAAAAAGAAGUUCUUUUAAAAGAACUUUGUAUCUGAGCCUUAAUUGGAUACAAAGGUCUCGAGUAGCAGUUUAUAAAUGAAAGUGUAAGCAUUCCACCUCAUGACUAAAGCGGCAACGCCCAAAUUGAAAUCAUUAGACCGUUUCUGAAACCAGUAGUGAAGUAUGUUAUUUAAUUCGAUAACCCGCGAAUAACCUUACCACGUUUUGAAUUUAUUAAACAAGUGUUGCACGGCUGUCUUCAGUUAAUGUCGUGAGAUUUUGGUUUGUUCCAUUAAUUAACGAAAACCCUUGUUUCAUUUUUAUAUGAAAUAGUUCACCGUUAUAUUG